This is a non-coding RNA of Salmo salar (Atlantic salmon), 54 nucleotides long. The record is from Rfam. NCBI's taxonomy places the organism in Eukaryota, Metazoa, Chordata, Actinopteri, Salmoniformes, Salmonidae.
CCUAAUUGCUCGUGUAAAUUGCUCUGGAUAAGAGCAUCUGCUAAAUGACUGAAA